GCAUCAUUAACUCAAUUGGCUAGAGUUCUUGCCUUCCAAGCAAGUUGUUGUGAGUUCGAGUCUCACAUGAUGCUCCA
Molecule: transfer RNA, 77 nt
Filed under: Clostridium tagluense
Lineage: Bacteria; Bacillati; Bacillota; Clostridia; Eubacteriales; Clostridiaceae
Description: tRNA-Gly
Rfam family: tRNA
About the family: Transfer RNA (tRNA) molecules are approximately 80 nucleotides in length. Their secondary structure includes four short double-helical elements and three loops (D, anti-codon, and T loops).
Source: RNAcentral